UACAAAAUGAGGCGUAGACGUAUUCCGACAGCGUACAGCUAACAACGUACGAAUAUGAUCGUACUGUCAACAAAGCCUUACAUAUGGCAUGUAGCUAGCGCCUUUAUGUCACGUCGGCUGCCUUUCAAGUUUGUACGUACCGCCCUGCCCUGUGACGCCCGAACACUAGAUUGGGUCGUCAUCUCUCUCGCAUCGGGCGCGUGUCAAGACUGUUAAUGUUUAAGACAGAAAUUAUCUUAAUCGCCUCCGCCGCAAACUUCCGCUGAUUUUCUUAAGAUCCAUGCUCCGGUAACUCUCCAACUCCCCCCCCCCCGGAAAUAUCGUACAGUCCCUAAACCACAAACAUAAACGUCCAAACAUACAAACGCAUAUCUACUAGGUAACAUCUCACUAAUUUUAUAGAACAUGCAGCGGGAUCCAAUCUAGCAAUGCAAAGGUACGCGUCGGAUACACUUAAGUGCUUGAUGUUUCGCGUCGACAGUCACAUUGUUUGCACGUCAGUCUUUCUUGGCGAUUAGCAGAGUUGUUCUGCCCGAAAAAUAAGCCAAAGCCCAAACCUCCGGAUGAAGAGUAACACAUGACAAUCCAGGUGCCCCAGUCCCGAAGUUUCAUCAUCGAGUAUCGCGUUUCGUGAGCGGCAGACGUCAAAGGGUCUAAUGUUACAUAUGGUGAGCUGAUAUGGUGGUCGGCCACGUUUCUCAAAAGGAUCUUAUGUUACAUGAUUCGUCACGGAGGCGGAGUCAACUGCUACCCUUUGCGUUAUUUGGAAGACCAGUUCUGUCCUACCCGAGACAUCCCAUUCGCUUACUGUGCUGAGGUACUCUCCAAGCAGAGGUUGAAUGGGAAGAUUGUGACCUUUUUCUAUGCCCCGUUUUUUUCUGACAGCCGGCCCAUCCAUCGGUGGCCAAUUUGAUACUGUCGGCCGGCUGGAUACUGUCCGCGUGUUGGAUACUAUCUUUUUAGCCACCAAAAGAUCUGCUUGGAGAUUAGUGCUGAGGCAGGAAAGUAGGUCACUUCCCGCGAAGCUUGACCUCUUCACCCGGUCAAUGGCCUCUCACAGGUAAUUUUGCUGUGUAAGGGAACUCAAAACGCGUAGGUUUUCUCAUCUAAAUAUUACAAUUAGUAUAAUCAAUGACAUUAUCUAUUCACCAAUCAAUGGUUCCUAGUGAUCAGAACGCCCCUCGCAACAAUGUCUAAAUGUUGAUUGAUGUACGUUCCGACUUCAAAAACCAAGACAGCCUCGCUCGGGGUACAGAAGCGAGUUGGAAGAACAAUACUGCUGAAAUCCUCCCGGCCGGUCCGCUGAGAUUCCGGGGCGCAGGGCGCGCUGGGGCACUGGUCAGCGGCCAUCGAUCACUCACAGCACCGAGGAAUUACCGGGGAGGUCGCGGUGGUUACCAGGCUAGCCAACCGACUUUGUCAGCGCGUCCGAUGUUUGCUACUUUUAAAGUAAACCUCAGACAUGCAGCGAGGGAUACCCUACUGUUCUACACUGAACACCGGUGCCGGCAUAUAAGGUUAUGCCCUGUCCGCGCUAAACUGCCCGCACCUGCCAACGACGCAGGGUUCCGAACUGUGAGACCAUCUCAGUGCACGGAGGCAGUUUCACUCUACAUGACGACAAACACAGCAGUUACUCAAUAAUACAAUCAAGAAGUGGAACAAAAUACCAGGUAAACUUCGCCAUGUCCACCCUGAGAUGCAGACUACAGCAGGAGUU
Branchiostoma belcheri (Belcher's lancelet) is the source of this 1720-nucleotide long non-coding RNA. RefSeq lists it as uncharacterized. The transcript has 4 exons. The record is from RefSeq and is a predicted model, not a curated record. NCBI's taxonomy places the organism in Eukaryota, Metazoa, Chordata, Leptocardii, Amphioxiformes, Branchiostomatidae.